GACGAACGCUGGCGGCGUGCCUAAUACAUGCAAGCCGAACGGUUUAGUUCCAAGAGGCUUGCCUUUUGGAACUAGACAGUGGCGGACGGGUGAGUAACACGUAGGCAACCUACCUGUCAAACCGGGAUAACCUCGGGAAACCGAAGCUAAACCCGGAUAAGCUCCUUUUUCGCAUGAAGGGGGAGUGAAAAGGUGCGACCUGAUGACAGAUGGGCCUGCGGCGCAUUAGCUAGUAGGUAGGGUAACGGCCUACCUAGGCGAUGAUGCGUAACCGACCUGAGGGGGCGUACGGCCACACUGUGACUGGGCUACGGCCCAGACUCCUACGGGAGGCAGCAGUAGGGAAUCUUCGGCAAUGGGCUAAAGCCUGACCGAGCGACGCCGCGUGAGUGAGGAAGGCCUUCGGGUUGUAAAACUCUGUUGUUUGGGAAGAAGGGAAAGGGUAGGACCCUUAGGUGACGGUACCAAACGAGAAAGCCCCGGCUAACUACGUG
Molecule: ribosomal RNA, 494 nt
Filed under: uncultured bacterium
Lineage: Bacteria
Description: partial 16S ribosomal RNA
Rfam family: Bacterial small subunit ribosomal RNA
Source: RNAcentral